Molecule: ribosomal RNA, 407 nt
Filed under: uncultured prokaryote
Also listed under: 1 other name
Description: bacterial SSU rRNA
Rfam family: Bacterial small subunit ribosomal RNA
Source: RNAcentral
UGGGGGAUAUUGCACAAUGGGGGAAACCCUGAUGCAGCAACGCCGCGUGAAGGAAGAAGGUCUUCGGAUUGUAAACUUUUGUCUUUAGGGAAGAAGAAAGUGACGGUACCUAAGGAGGAAGCCACGGCUAACUACGUGCCAGCAGCCGCGGUAAUACGUAGGUGGCAAGCGUUGUCCGGAUUUACUGGGUGUAAAGGGCGUGUAGACGGGACUGCAAGUCAGAUGUGAAAUUUAUGGGCUCAACCCAUAACCUGCAUUUGAAACUGUGGUUCUUGAGUGAUGGAGAGGUAAGUGGAAUUCCUAGUGUAGCGGUGAAAUGCGUAGAUAUUAGGAGGAACACCAGUGGCGAAGGCGACUUACUGGACAUUAACUGACGUUGAGGCGCGAAAGUGUGGGUAGCAAACAGG